This 325-nucleotide ribosomal RNA is filed under the name uncultured eukaryote. RNAcentral's name for it is "partial 18S ribosomal RNA". It matches the Rfam family "Eukaryotic small subunit ribosomal RNA", at positions 1470 to 1796 of the family's 1831-position model. The record is from RNAcentral.
CCCUUAGACGUUCUGGGCCGCACGCGCGCUACACUGAUGCAUUCAACGAGCCUAUCCUUGACCGACAGGUCCGGGUAAUCUUUGAAUCUGCAUCGUGACGGGGAUAGAUUAUUGCAAUUAUUAAUCUUCAACGAGGAAUGCCUAGUAGGCGCAAGUCAUCAGCUUGCGUCGAUUACGUCCCUGCCCUUUGUACACACCGCCCGUCGCUCCUACCGAUUGGGUGUGCUGGUGAAAUGUUCGGAUCGGCCGUUUGUCGCGGUUUCCGCGUCAUGUGGCUGAGAAGUUCAUUAAACCCUCCCACCGAGAGGAAGGAGAAGUCGUAACA